RNAcentral lists this long non-coding RNA (39560 nucleotides) under Olea europaea (common olive). Its description in RNAcentral is "long non-coding RNA (OEUR_LNC015224)". Lineage: Eukaryota; Viridiplantae; Streptophyta; Magnoliopsida; Lamiales; Oleaceae. The record is from RNAcentral.
GGUUAGUGGUUGAUGAGUUGUGUAACUGUUUAUAAAAGGUAUUUUUGUUAUCUGUUUUAUGGAGAGCUAAGACUCUGUAGCUCUUAUAUAAAAAUACGGGCGUGUUAUGUUUGUGAGAGAGAAGUAGUUGGGUGAGGAUGGAUUAAUUACCUAUUUCUUUUGUUCUCUAACGUGUAUUCAAAUUAUGAGGGUGUUUUACACCCAUUUUUAUGGAAGAUCACAAGAAAUUCUUCCCGGAAGAAUUUAUACCAGUAAAGUGGCAGGAUAAGAAGCAGUGUGUCAAGAGGUAAAUUGUUUUGAGCAAGUAAAAGUUAGUCAUGUUUAUGUUCCAAUAGCACGAGUUUCUCAUCAAUAAUCCUUCGUUUGAGCUUGUUUAAGUACGCGUUGUUAUCAGAUUUCUAUGCCUGUAGCUUGUGUUUAUAAAUCACUUGUAAACAUUCAAGUCACCUGUUUAAUAAAGCAUGGCGUCGAAGUAGUCAAGUGCUACCUAAUCCACAUAUAGAGCAUGUCGACAAUAUACUUGUUCACGAAAUAUUUCUUUCGAUUUAACCCACCGCAAGUGUACGGUUCGUUAACAAGUAAUAAAGUGGAUUUUUAGAGUCCGAAUAUCGUCCCACAGAGAUUGAGUAGUUCAAUUUUACCUAGUGUAGCCUUAAUCGAAACGAAAUUUCUCAAUGUGGAUAUUUACCUAAAUAAACCCUAAUUUUAGAAAGAAAACCCUAUUUUGGAAUGCAAACCCUAAUUUAUGAAAACCCUAAUUAUGCAAAAUUGAAGAUUGGAAGGACCUCAGUACGCAAAACGAUAUUUGAUGAAUUGAAAUGCAAAUUAUAUGUUAAAGCGCAAAUUGGUUGUAUUCAAUGAAAAUUAAAAACACUAGGAUCACGAAUUCCCAUGCAAUGAUCACCUUAAACCCUAAUUUCACAAAUGACACGCCAUUGAAUUUUUUUAAUGAAUCAAAACCCCUAAUUCUAUCCAAUACUCUCUCUCGAGAUGUAUUGAACCUAUUUUUACAUACCACCGGUCUAUAUCUCUAUGACAAGUGCAUAUAUAAAAUGCAUUCGAUUUUAUGAGCACUUAAAGAUUCACAUAAGACAUAGAGAUAUAUCUCUAUCUCCUAUCGGACCCUACGAUGAAUUUAUUUCCCUUCUUUCGAACAGAUGAAAUAAACCACCACAUAUCACGUAAUUAUGUGCACUUGAUUAUGGAAGAAAAUCAAUGCAUAUAAUUCAUUCAAAUAUUCAAAUACGUGCUUAAAGUCAAAUUGCAAAACUAGAAAAUUAAAGAUUACAUCACAAGGUUCAUCGAUCUCCUAGUAUAUAAAAAUAUAGCCUAACAUGGAGAAAGAAUCAAAAUACAUAGUAGAUUGAAGAAAGCGCAUCACCGGCUUAUGAAUUCUUGAUAAAUCUUCGUGAAAUUCUUCGUUACUUGUACUCAAAAUCUUCUCCAAUAUGUGGUUUAUUGCCUCCCAAUGCAUUCUGCCCCGAAAUAUGACGGCUCUAAAUUUUUAUAUCGCUUCCCAAUCGAGUUUCAAAAGAAUUAUAAUGAAAAAGGGAAACUGCAGAUUCGCGACAUAGAUUUUUACCAUGCGGCCGCAUAGUAUUAAUCCAUGCGGUCGCAUGGUAGAGUCAAUUGCCUAGAUUUAAAUCUCGGAUGGUGGUUGUGUGGCAGAAUGAUUAUAUUCCAUGCGGUCGCAUGGUGGAAAUUUUCUUUUUGCGUCAUUUUAGUCCCCAAAUUCAAUCUUCUUAUUUCUUGACCUCUUUUCUUCGACUCUUUUGUUCCAUCAUCUCAUAUUGAUCUCCAAUUAGUACUUGGCAUUAGAAAUCUUUUGAUUGCUCAUUUGGCUUAUCUUUUGGAUAUUUGCACUUUGGACCCUGAAUUAUCACGUUGAUUUGUUUUGGUCCUUUUUGCUUCUUUUUCUCGUGAAUUCCAUCAAAUCCAUCAAAAAACCCUACAAUUCAAGAAUUGAACGAAUUUAAGCCACAAUUCAAAUAUUUUGCUCGUAAUUUAGUCAUGUUUGUGCAUUAAAUAAGUGCACAAAAACGCACUUAUCAGUACUAAUGAAACUUCUUUCCUGUAUGUGACUACUUGAGCUUCAAGUGUGAAUACUUCCUCUUCAAGUCCCUGUGGGAUUAGUCGAGGAGCGCGUAAGCUGGUUCGGACUUCCUCAUGUGUUGGUUGAUUUCAAUUUUUCAUUGGUGCUUUAAUGUCGAAAUUUUGAUGCUCAAGUGACAAAGAAUAAAACUCAAGACAGUUGCUUGCUUUCAUGUAAUGUAUAAUUCAUAUACUUAUAUUUUAUCUUCAACUAUUAUUAGCAAGUUGAACAUUUUGAGUUAGUUGGAGAAGCCAUGUAAUUACAUAUAAAUAAUGAUACGAAAUCAAGCCUAACUGUAUUAAUCGAACCUUGUAAUAGCAUUUGCACUCGAAAUUCUAAUUAUUUUCUAUAAGUUAAUGUAAAAUAAUAAAUAAGGUAAUUGGCACAAAAUGUCCCUACUUUUCAUUUUAUGGCAUUUUUGUCCCUAUUUCCACCUUUCUUGGUGCCGAACGUCCUUUUCACCAAUUUUAGACAAUUUUACCCCCCAUUCAAAUAAAAUAAAAAGAAAAGAAAUAAAACAACAAACAACUAAUUGCAACCACAGCCCCCCAAUUUUCAAAAAAUUACAAAUCAGUCACAAAUAUAUACAAAAAUUUCAACAUAGGUGCCAACAACCAUGGAACCCAAUUUUCGGCACCAAGGCAACCUACACUGAGCAGUGUUGGGGACAUAGCUUGGCCUCUGCGUUUCCCUUUCAAUCUUGACAAUUUCCUCCAUACUCAAAAAAGUAAGAAUUUUAAGAAACCUCACGACGUCUGAUUCAGGGACAGAGAACAAAUACUGGUAGAAACUGGUAAGGAGACAAGACCAUCAUCUGAUUUGCCAAAUUUGGUCCCAUCACUCUUGAGGAGAAGAGGGUAUGUGAGUCCGUAGGCUCUUUCUGCCUGUCAAAUUCGACGCAUAAGGUCCACUCUUGCAGUAAUAUUGCCCCAUUGAUCAACACCUCCAAUUUGAACAUUAACAUCUUCGUCUCGAAAAAGAUGAAGGAAAUCAUACCCCUGCAAUAACUGGUAAGUGAACUCGGUGUAACUCAUUCCCUACUCUGUUUCGAGCCUCUUCCGUACGCUCUCUUUCGACAUCAUCACACCCAUCCUCGCAAAUCUACCUACCUCCUUGAGAAAAUCUAGAAGCUUAACAUCCUUCCACCAGUCGUAAUUAUUCGAACUAGUAAAAUACUUAGCUCCGUGAUUCCGACCCAGAUCCGGCUAAUAGUAGUCGAAAUCCCAGAAAAGUUCCGCUCCAAAGCGAGAAGGUCGAGCUCAGGCCACUCGAUGCUUUUGUUGAAGGGAUCACCAACCCGAUCUGUUGCACCACCGACAAGAGCAACAACCUUAUGCCCACAUCGGAGGAAACAAGAAAGCACUAUUAUACCAAAGAGGCUGUCCAAAUGGAGACUCUCAGCAGUUGGGUCGAACCCACAAUAGACCCUAAGGGUGGGGAGGCUGGGAUCAGAACAGGCGGUAAUUUUUAAAAAAUUUGGGGUUGUGGUUGCAAUUAGUUAUUUAUUGUUUCCUUUCUUUUCUUUUUGUUUUAUUUGAAUGGAAGGUGAAAUUGUCCAAAAUUGGUGAAAAUGACAUUCAGUGCCAAGAAAGGUGGAAAUAUGGACAAAAGUGUCAAAAAAAUGAAAGGUAUAGACGUUUUACACAAUAGACAUGAAAGGUAAGGACGUUUUGUGCCAAUUAUCCAAUAAAUUAAAUCCCCAGGAAAAAAAAGUAAGAAAACAGUAUAUCGGCAACAAAAUUUAUAAAAUUUUCCAAAACGAUCAACAAAUUUCCAGCUUUACACAAUUGAAAAACCUUAAUUCUUCCAAAAUUGCCCAAUCGCCGCUCCUUCAACUUGACCUUGAAUUAUGAUAAAUGAAAGCAAUUUUAACAGAUGAGACUCAUGGUUCAAAUUUUGAGUCAACAAAAAAUUAAAUAAAUAAAUAAAUUACGUUACCAAUUUCAUUUUCUUUCAUUUUUUUCUCUCUUUCUAAAUUGUGUCUUCAAGAUACUGACUUGAAUAUCUUGUGUUUUCAUUCACCCUCCUGACAUUUAACAUAAGGUUUGAGUAAGGCUAUUAAUGGUGAUUUAAUAUUUCAUACGAGACAAUAAAAAACUCUCACACUAAUGUAUCAAAUAACAAACUGUUAUAUAUAUGCUAUGUAGGGCGACUAACAAUAGUUCUCACUAUUAUUCCAAUAUUAUUAUUAUUAUUAUUAUUAUUAUUAUUAUUAUUAUUAUUAUUAUUAUUAUUAUUAUAAGUACAUUACCCUUUACUUAGUAACGAUCUUUUCUAAUUUUUUUUUUUUUUUAACAUGUAUGGUGUAAAUUAGAUAUGUUGUAAAUGUUUUCCUCGAGCUUCAAUCAGAUAAAUAUAUUUCAAUCUUAUUUUUUCGAAUAACUAUAUUUUAAUCUAAUUUUCAAAUAUCGUCACUUGAAUUGACUGAAAUCAGUGAAGUGAUUUUUUUAUUUUAACCAAGGUAGCAUUAAUUCCACAUUAGGAACUAACGACCACAUGAGCUAACAAUCAUUUACUGAAUUGGACAUAAUUAGCUCAAUUCAAAUUAAAUUAAAGUGUAAUUAUUCGGUUGAACAAAAUUAAAAUACAGUUAACACUAGAGUGAAAGUACUGUUAAUGCGAAUGGAAAUUAACCUAUAUAUGGAUUAAAUAUUAUUAGAUCAUCAUUAUUAUUAGCCAAAUGUACUGUAUAUUCAAAAGCUAAUGAUGUAUUUAGGACCCGUUUGACAUUACUUUUUAAAAAGAGGAAAUUGCACCCACUACGUAGAAUUUGAAAAAUAUUCACACAAUACUUUUAACUCCUUAAUUACUAUAAAAUCUAACUAAAGCUGAAAUGCAAAAAACAACCCAACAUCCAUGGAAACUAAAUUUACUCGGCAAACAUGCCCUUCCUAUACUUUUGACAAACACCAAAAUCCUCAAUUCUUACCCUCUCCAACUUUGUGAAUGCCAAAUCUUCCUCCAACCAAGAAAUCUAGAGAACAACCCAAAGAUUAAUCCUUUACAAAUUUACAACAAACACCGUAACCCAUAGUAUCAUUCAAGAAUUUGAUCUUUUAGAUCCCCAUUUUGCAGUGAUUAGGGCUCCAUAGUUCAUAUAUAAACCCUAACCAGAAGUUCCUACAUCAAACCACAAUGAAAUAUUACAUGUUGUGUAGAGAUGUUUUCACUGUAUAAAUGUUCGUUGUGUAUGUUUCAUCUAUUUGUGUUUCAAUUAUGUGUUCCAUCCAUAUGUUCCACCAAAUAUCACGUGCUACGUGUAAACAUCGGAGGGGGGGGUGGAUAAUUAUUAUAGUCAUGAAAUAGACUCAUCUUUCGUUUUUAACUUUGUUAUUCGAAUAUGCGUGACCCCAGUUCGAUGUUGUAUUUCAUAAUUUCUAACUAUGAAUCAACAUCAAUUAGAUCAUGUUAAAAAUAAUUCAAGAUAAUUUGCCACCUCGUCUAUCCAAUUUCCAAGGUAAUUAAUUUUAACGGACUUUACAAGGGGACAUAAAUGCUGGAAGAAAACACUUCUAAGCAUUCAGAUUGAAACAGAUUCAAAGAAUUUGAAAUCAGUGUUUUCACAAACUACUAUCAAGAGCACGGGAUGCGUGAUGUAUGUCAAAUAAGAUUCCCUAAACUGCUCAGCUAUUGACAUCAAAAUCUGCAAAGAAAGAUUACAGAGAAAAAGAAAGGAAUUCAGUCUGAGGAAAUCUCUCAAACCAUCUUCACCAUUCUUCUCAAGACCCUUUUCAUUGAAUUAUUUGAAUUAGCUGAAUUUUCGGGGAUUCAACUAAUGAAGUGUAAUAUUGGGGGUUGUCUUUAAAUGUUGUUAAUAGGAGUGAUAGUAUUUAGAGAAUAGGCUUUUUUUUUUUUUUUUUCUAAGUGAGGUAAAUAUGGUUUUUUUCCCUUUAAAAAAUUAAAAGAAGCUUUUGAGAUUCAAAAAUUAUUUUUUGGAUUCAUUUGACUAAUAUUAUUAAAGUGCUUCAUAUAGUUGGAAGAAUUUUUAGUAGAAGUUUGAUCAAAUGUGACUUCCUAUAAAAGUAUUUUAGAAAUAAUUUUUUUAAAAAAUUAGUUUUUAAACAAAACUUAGAUAACUUCCUCCAAAUACUCUUCUACAGAAAGCUAGAACAAAAGUUAUGUCAAAUGUACCUCUAAUUUCAAUGGUAAAGUGAAAAUGUGGAUACGAAAAAGGACAAGAUGGGUUAGAUGGAAAGAAAAGGAGGUGUGGGCUAAUUUUAAAGUAUGUUAAGUUGGGAAUGUCGAUUUUUUUUUUCCCUUUUUAUUGUGGACAUGAGCACAAGCAUGAAUAACGGGAGCGAGUAUCAAAGUCAUCAUAUGUGACAUAUAUUUAGCCAUUGUUUGAAUCACAUUAUUUUUAUAAAAAUGUAUUUUUGAAUGGUGUAUUGAUGGAAAAUGUGGAAUUAAAAAAUAAUGAAAAGUUUUAGAUUUGUGGUGUAAUAUUAUUUCAUUAAAGAAUGUGUAGUUAAAAUGAUGUCAAAUCAUUGUUUAAGAAUGCAUUUUUUCCAUGAAUGUGACUCAAAGGGGGUCUUAAUCCCUUAAUCAUGGUGAGUACUAUUGAUUUAAAAAUUAAAAUAAGUGAUUAAAUAUAUGUCAUAUAGAAUGACUACGAUAGUCACUCACUUUGUAUACCAUUACUCUUUCAAAAAUUGUGAGACGAAUCAAAUCAAAUUGCAAGAAAUAAUUUGGUUUGGAAAUUGAAUUUGGUUUAAAAAAAUCCUCCCCAAAUCAUUUUACCGAAGAAUUUAGUUUGAAAAUUGACCACAAAUCAUCUAACCCGAAUUGUGUCACCGUGAUUUCGUGGAACCUUUCAUGGUAUAUCAGCCACCCUCCUUCAACCAUGCACCAACCAUCAUUACCCUUGCACACAGUGGUUCGCCGACCUCUCCAUUGUGACUCUGUCUUCUAUGGUGACCUUACCCACUCCCCAUUCCCAAUUUAUCCCUUGUAUUGAUUUCACGUAAUUAAGAGACUUGAUUUUGAGCGAGCUAACAGUGCAAAAUAAGAAAAAGAGAAGAUGAAAAACGUAAGGAGAGAAGAAAACAUCAACAACAAUAACAAUAAAAACAUAGCACAUAGUAAUCGAGUUGCUAUAACUUUUUAUAGCUUAAUCAUUUAUGAUUAAGCUACUCUCAUCAUUUAUGGUCCAAGGCUCACUCAAUUAGAGCACUUACUACCUCAAAGGAAUUCGCUACAAGACGCUUUUAAUCGCUCUGCUAGGACGAUCUAGUAGAGAGGUUGUCUAGUCAUCUCCGUAUCUAAAAGAAUUUUACUCAUCAUACGAGCCUAGAGUUUUAUAUUGGUAAAAGUUUUGAAAAUAAAUUUCUCCAAUAUAACAUACUUACAAACCAAGAAUUUUUAUUUUUUUUUAAUAAUUUAAAAACUGGACAAGAUCAAAGGAUACAGCAUACCAUACUUUUGCAUGAAAUUCACAUCAUUUAUCCAUCCAUUAAAAAACACAUGAAUCUUAAGGAAAAAAGAAUUCACGCAAUUACUAUAAUGAAAACCCUAAUUGUUCGGUGCAUAAGGGAUCCAAUGCUAGAACAGUACACAAUGAAUAUGAUGCAUCAUAAGUAGAAAAAUGAAAUCAGAUAAAACUAAUUACUUUUAUGUAAGAAAGGGAAAAUAAUGUGCCAUGUCUUCACUUACUUGGUAAAAAAGUAACUUUUAGACCUAAUAAAAUAUACUCUUAUUCAAAAGACUAUAAAAAACUGAGGAGCUACUGGAUCUUCAGACGGGUGAACUGCCCAAGUACAAGGCUCAAUCUCUCUAGUUAUAGACACUGGACAGUACCCAACCAGAGUUGCCUUAGCUUCGGAAGAAGCGGCCGAACCGAAGGACAUGGCAUCCACAUAUGCGCUCGGUUUAGCUUCUGCCUCACCUUUGGAACCAUCUACUGGUUUUUCAUUCUUUUUUUGGCCUUUGGAAUCAUCUUCUUUUCCAUUCUUUUCCUUUCUUUUGUUGAACCAAGAUAGAAGCCCCAUGAUUAUGAUUAACCAAUGAAAUAUGGGUGGAAUUUUAGGUUUUCUGAAUUUAUAGAAGAUUAAAAGAGAUGACGGAAUUAGGGUUUUGCUUAUGUAGCAUACAAUCAAAUCUCAAAGGGAAAGUUGAUUUAUUUGGUAAAUUACCUUAGAAACACUCCUAGUAUAAUACAGUCUCAUUCAGUUAAGAUCUUUUAGAAUAACUUAUUUAUGUUUUGGGCUUACACGUACCUUAAUCCUUACCAAACCAUGAUGUGAAAAAGUAUAAAACCUAAUUUCAUAACCCUGAAAAAACUACAGGAGAAUCCUCGACUAUGAUUUUAAAAGAUAUUAUAAACUCUAAUGAAAUUUCAAAAGAUUUGUUUGUAUGUGUUUUAUCCAAAUCUUUUAAAAUUCCUCUAUUACUAAAAUCUUUAUAAAUUCACUAGUUAUGGAUAACUAAAUUUUAAAGGAUUUCAUUGGAUUUCGUUAAGAUGGGACACCUAAAUUUUAAUGAAUUCAUUAAAAUCUUAAUCAAAGACAUCUAAAUUUAAAGAUUUUUAAAAUCCAUCGGAGGACACACCUUUCAAUAUGAAUAGGUGGAAACCUAAACAGUCGCCAGUGAAUCCACCUCACAGCCGCCGCCGCAGCCACCAUACCAGGCGGCCGGGCUUUGAGAAGCCUUCCACACUCUGCAAUCCCAAGUCUCCAGCUUCCUCUAGAAACCCCCAAACCUCUUCUUCAACGCUUGCAGCACAAAAGCUCACUGAGCAAAUGUUAGUCCAGAUCGGACUUGAGAUGCUUUUAUGAAAUUAUUCUACCCCAAUCAUCUUGUUUAAAAUACAAGAAUGAAAUUAAGGGAGUUGAAGCGUAAAGACACGAUCAAGAAUUAUGUUACAGAGGUCAAAACCCUUAUACUUCAAAUCCCUACUGUGUCGGAUGACGAUCUAACUGAAUUAGCAUAUGAACUUCAAUAUUGGGCAGAGGAAGAAUUCAAGUAUUCUAACAAAGAAUCUUGCUAUGUCUGACGAGGAAAUUGGAGAAAGAUUAUGUAAAGUUAUUGUUUAUAAUAUCAAAUUUUCUGAUGAUGAAAAGUAGCCCGGAUGGCUUCGUGUACAAAUCAAAUGAAAACAAUUCUACGUUAUUUCUUUAGGCAGAUGCUAAGAAUUAUGCGGAGCAUGGCCUAAUAUAUGCUUCUUAUUUUUGCAGAAAUUACUUUUUUUUUUUUUUUUUGACACAUCAAUAUACACAUCUUGUUUAAUUUUACACGAAUCCUGUAGGUUAUGAAUUUUAACAUGGCAAUCGAGCAUGUUAGCUUGAUACCGGAGGUGAAAAAUGCAUUAGAGGUAAGAGUUUGAGCAAGCACUGAUUACUUAUCAUUCUAAAAAAUUAAAAUUUUAACUAAAUAUUCUUGUGUAAUAAUUUUCUGUAGAUUAAAAAGGACGCUGAUCUUUCUUGUGAAAAGUUUCAGGAGUUCCUCAAUUUCAUAAUAAAACAAAAAUACAUAGUGAGAUGACUGUCAAGAAAUUCUCCAGCUGAAUAAAAUUGCAAGACAGGGAAAAGAAGAAGAAUUAAGGGGACUUAUAAACAAAAUAUACAAAACAAAAAUUCGUAAUUAAGGACAAAGAUUAAUGAAUUUUACAUCCAAAAAUCAUGCUAAGAGCUAAUAAUCUAACACCACCGAAAAUACAAUAUGCAGUGAGAGUGGCAUCAAUUCUUGUAGAGGAACCUACACAAUUGCCUAAGAUGUGAUGCUCUAACAAAGCUAGAACUCUAUGACGGAGAAGGAUCCGGGAGCUUUCCCGUUUCUUCAACGAUUAUGAGAGCUUUCCUCCUCUGAUGGCAACUGCUAAAAUGCACACCACCCAUUUCAAUCUCCCCCACCCCUUAAAGAAAAAGGAUGCCAACGUGCCUAAGAAAAAAAUGCAAGGGUUUUGCUAGUACUCACACACACACUACACAGCAAAGGGUUACAAAAUCUGCUUAUCCUAUGCCACUCAAGGCACAAAGAAAACUUGAGGUUGCUACUCACCAAGGUCGAGUUUGAGUUAAAUUUUCCGCUUCAGUUUCCACAUCAUGUGGAACUGUUUCCAGCUUUUGCAAAGUAUUCACAGAACUGAAAAUCAAACGAUUAAGAGUAGCAAAAUGGAAUCAUGGACCAACAAUACACGAGAAGAGACAAAUUAUGUUCUGGGAAUUUGAAUUUCUCAGCUAUAAUCAAGACUUAUGGGAAAUUUUGUCAAGGGUUUUCUGUGGCUUCUGGGGAUUCUAUAUACUUCGAAAGAGAGGAGAGGAAAAAGUAUGUCGGGUUUGAGAGAAACAACAGUAGAAAGAUGGGUUCCCAUUUUUAUACUUCGCAAAGAUAUUUGAUGAACAGUCGUUGCCAUAUGAGGCCCCUCCUCUCCGUGCUACACGGAGACUUGGAAACAUAGUCUCUGCGCAACGUGGAGCGGAAAGGCACUAUACCUCUUAGUGCUGCUUGAAUUUUUUUCUUUUUUCUCCUUUCUUUAAGCUAAGAAUUUCAAUUUCCUGAUUUUUGGAGAAAUUUUGAGGUUGUCCAUUUUUUAUGAAAUUUUAGUCAAAUUUGAUUAGAAAUGUGCUAAUGAACAAAAAUCAGCAACUUUGCUGCUGUCAUAAGACCAAUUUUGGGCAAGUUUCUUCGUUUAUGCGUUGUUUCCACUUUUUGGUAAGUUUCGUUUUGGUUAUAUCUCAAUGAAUUUAAAUCAAACUUGAAUUUUGUUUGUAUGAGAAUAAUCAUUAAGAUUAUAACUCUUGAUUUUAAUCAUUAUCUUGAUUUUUUUCCAUAAGAUUUUUUUCCAUUUUUGGAAAAUAAUUUCAUCUCAAACAUUAAGGUAAUGAGUGAAUAUUUCAGAGAUUCAAAACAGACUGGGUAUAUAGUAGGUCAUAUGUCAUGUUUAGCACCUAUAUUCUAGUUCACCUCCCAUACAAAUGAAGACAAGUCGUGAACAUACAUGUACUUUUGUUUCAUCAAGAAACAUGUUUAAGCAAAAAACCUAAUUCACAAAAUAAACAACAAAAGUCUCAGACCCACCUCAGAAAAUCUCCAAAUAACCAAAUUUCUGAACACCCACAUUCAUCACCAAAAAUCAUGGGAUUCUUCAAACGUAAUGUGAUUACAAGAAUCCAAAGCACCCACCCAGUAUUUCAAUAAAAAAGAACCAAAAUAUCGCUUAUAAUUUCAACGAAUUUCUACAAUCAAGUAAUAGAAAGUCGCAAAAAAAUAGACCCAAAAUAAAAAUACAAAAGGGGGUUCAAAAAAAUCCAUUAAACUUCAUAAAUUGAAACACUUGUAAUCACUAAAAUCCAAAUAAGAAAAAAAGGUACCGGAGUCGCCAAAGAAAAGGAACGAAGAAGGAAGGCAAAAAAGAAAUGAAAAGUUAUUGCAUCGACUGUGUGGAUGAAGUGAAGUGAUGUGUGAAAAUGGAGAAAUAUGAUAGUUGAGGUGAUGGUUGCAGUGAAGUGAGAUGUGAAAAUGGAGAAAUGAUUGAAGACAACACGACGUCGUUUACGCUCCUAGAACGGAAAAAAAUUUGCUACAAUGUGAUAGAAUGGAAGAAUUCGUUGUUUCUAACUACAGUACAUUCUCAUUCCCUUUUUUAUAUAGUAGUGAUACAAAUUUUUUUUUUUUUUUUAAUCUGUAUUCUAUUUUUAAAAAGGUAUUCAUUUAAUAAAAAAGGGCAUACUGGCCAGGCCUGGCCUAACACAACUUUUGAAAAUAUAUUCAUUAUUUAAAGAGAAAAAAAAAAUAUUGUGCUCAAUAGAAUAAGCUAGAUCUCCUAAUAUAGUGUUUAAGACUUAAUCAGCGUAUAUGCAUAUUUUAUUUCAUCAACAUGCUUUUAUCCCCUUUUUUGAACUUGCAUUCUUUCCUAUUUUUCUUUCUGAGAUGUGCAUGUAGUGUCCUUGUUGGAAUCUGUAGACUAUAGUUUUGGCUCAUGUAACUAUGUCACUUUUUCUCCGUCUUGUCACGAACAAUGCAAUAUCCUAUACUGGGACGAGUAAUUGAAAUCAUACCCCUAACAUAUGAUCAAAUCUGAUUUAGUCAAAAUUACUCCUUCCAGCUCCUGAUCCUACUACCGGUGUUGGCUGACAUUGCUUACAAUUUACACAUGGUAUCAACAUGAAAUCAACUAAUCACUUCUAUCAAUUCAACCACCCCAAACUACUCACAAAUAUUGACUGAGUGAUUGAUAUAUCUCGUUCUACUAAUUUAAGAGUGUUUAUACCAACUCAAAGAUCUAUCGUAAUAGGGUUGGAAAUGGGGCUAGAUCAGGGACCCUGUACCCGCCCCAUUACCCGUUUAAGGCAAGGCAGAACGGGGUGGGGCGGUUGCCCCUUUUAUAUACCUGUUUAAUUUUUUUUUUUUAAUAUUUUUUGAUAAUUCAUUUUAUUGUCCUCAUUCAUUCAAGUGAAAAAAUAAUAUAGUUAUUAAAAUUUUUAGUUAAUUUAUUUAUUUUUAAAAGUCAAAUUAUUGGAAUAUAUUUGAUAAAUUAAUGUUUUUAUUAUUUAUCAUAUUUCUUAAAUAAUAUUAGUUGCCAUCUUCUAUUCGACUUAAUGAAAUUUCAUGGAGUUUUUCCAUUUUAAAGUAUUAAAUUCUUUAAAAAUAAACGGGCGACGAUGGGGCCCUUGUUACCCGUACCGGCCUCGGGACAAAAUUCCUCGGCCCAUACCCAAGGUGAUUACCCGAUUAAGCGGGUAAUCCCCACUCUAUUAGGAGCGGGGCCCACAAGUAUCAAGUUUGAUGAGUAUUUUUGUCAUGGGCAAAUUAGGCCCAAUGCCCUAAAAAAAUUACUAAUUUGAUUAAUACCCUAUUUAAUUAAUAAAAUCAUUCAACAACGUAAUUAUUACGUUAUAACCUCCCCCAAACCUCCAAACUCCUGAAGCCUGCGUGAAUGAGGAGAGUAGCAUUGCCACAGUCAUUCACAACUCAAAUCGAUUCCACCACUAGAUUCCCAAUCGAGAGCCCGCUCGCUACACCAACUGUACUCGUGAAGUGUCUCACCCUUCUAGGCAAAUGCUGCCGCACUAUCGUCUGCAAUGGCUGUUGCGAUGUGGUCCUCGGUGGAAUUUGGAAAGUAUGUUGCACGAGCACCUGAAGCACUUAGCACUUGAUUAUGUUUUUGUAAUGUUGUUUUUUGUAUACAAAUAUGGUUUUUGUAAUGUUGUUUGUUCAGACUGCUCUGGAGGACUUUUACUCGAAAAUGGGUCAUAUGGACAUUGCAUGCGGGCGUUCGAUGGAAUUGAAGGAAAGAACAUUGUUUUUGGAAUUAAAUCGAGGAGAUUUAGCAAUGGCUCAGAGUGUGUUCGACGAAAUGCCAGAGAAGGAGGUGAUAUCUUGGAAUGCAAUGGUUUCAUCAAUACACCAUCCCCUUUGGAGCACCUCGUCUCUCUCUACAUCUCUGUCUUUCUCUGUCCAGAAACACAUUCUAAAUUCUCAACUAUUCAAUUUGUUUAGCAAUAUAUAUACUCCUUUUAUCAAUUUGCUAAAAGGUAAAAGCUAAAUUUCUAUCCAGAUCAUAACUUUAGCAAUUGCUCAAAGUGUGUUUGAUGAAAUGCCAGAGAAGGAUGUGAUAUCUUGGAAUGUAAUGGUUUCUAGUUAUACAAUGGGUAGGAAUAUGGAGCAGGGAUAUGCAUUGUUUCGACAGAUGCCAGGGAGUAGUUUUGCUUCCUGGAAUGCUAUGAUCUGUGGGUAUCUAGAUUGCAGGAAGAUAGAAUUAGCAUGCAGCUUUUUUGAUGCGGUGCCCCAGAAGAACAAUGUUUCUCAUAUCACAGUGAUUUUCGAGUACUCAAAAUGUUGUCCGAGUUUGGUAAACUGUUCGGUCAAUAUGCAAACUGUAGGAUAUGUUAUGAUUUGAAGACCGCAAAAAAUAUUAUUCAAUUAACAGUGAUGAGCGUUUAUAAGAUUGUUUGACAUUUACAUCUUAGUUUAGUCAUCAAUUUUUAUUAGUUGUGACUUGUGAGCUUACUGUAAACUUGGUUGCAUUUAAAUUUUGGAUUAUGAUCAUAUUGUCCAAGUUGUUAGUUCAAAAAUUUUUAAUUUGUUCAUUAGCUGUGAACUUAUUAGAUAAUUUGUCUAUAUCGAAAAUUGUGGAUUGCGGUUUGUAAUUUUUUUUUUAAUUUGUGUCACUUUUUUUAAAUAUUUGACAUUUUUUUGAGUUUGUCACUUUUUUUGAAUUUUGUUACUUUUCGAGUGUUUGUCAUUUUUUAAUCCGUGUAACUUUUUUUUAAAAUUGUGUCACUUUUUGAAUUUUCGUCACCUUUUUAAUGUUUGUCAUCUUCUUGAUUUCUAUCUCUUUUUUAAAUUCGACACUUUUUUAGUGUUCGUCACUUUUUUAAAUUUGUCACUUUUUUUUUAUUGUUCGUUACUUUUUUUAAAGUCAACUUCUUGAAAUUUUUAUCACAUUUUCAGUGGCAAGCAUCAUUUUUUUUUAAAAUAAAAGUGAUAUUGUAUGUCAUUUUUAAUAUAAAAAAAAAGUGACACUAAACUUUUAAUAGUGACAUUGUGUCACUUUUUUGAGUUUUUUUGUCACCUUUUAAGUUUUUGUCACUUUUUUAAAUAUUUGUCACUUUUUGAAGAAAAUAAAAAAGUGACAUAAUAUGUUAUAUGUUCCUAACAUAAUUAGGACAUUAACAAUCCACAUGUUGAUUAUGUUAAGAACUGCCACUACGCUCACGUGAAUUGUCAUAGAUAUGCUGAUUAUGUUAAAAAUGUGAUUAGUGGUGCUGUCCAAAUGGAUGUUUCUAUUUUGGUGUUUCUCACUUUUUUAGCGUUCAUGUCACUUUUUUUGAGUUUAAAAAAAAAAGUGACAAUUUUUAUAAAAAAGUGACAUUGUGUCACUUUUUUCAUUUUACACAGUAUUUUUUACUUCCUAACAAUUUUUCAUAUGAUUUUUCAAAAUACCUCUAAUUUUAAGGGCAUUUUUGUAAGUUGCCCUUUUGUCAUUGCUACAUGUAUUAUGCAAUAUUUUCAAAACUAAAUAAUGAUAACUAAAAGUGACUAUGUGCUCAAUAAUAUGAUCUUACAUAGAUAAGCAUGAUACAAAAACAAACUCAAACAGAACCAUUAUAUCACGUAUCAUAAGUCAAAUAAAUUUCGAGCAUAAAUAAGGUGAUGUUAUCCAGCAAGUUACAAGCAUGUCUUGUGAAUUUUUUUCAGAAUUUCCAAUUUCUUUCAAAAAGUUUCAUUUUUUUUUUCCAAAAUUCUAUAAAAUGUAAAGCAAUAAUAAACAAGCACACAUUUGACUCACAAAGUCGACUCUACAUAAGGUUACAUUGUCCUUAAUGUAAGUACAAAACAUAAAGUAGGGUAAUAUAUGAAGGGGCUCGAGGAAGAUUAGUAUUAAAAUACUCGACUUGGAGCAUGUGAGGCUACAUGAACCUUCAUGCAACUACCAGGGAACAGUUAUCAAUAUUGAUUGCAUCAUGCAUCGAUAUUGCUGUUAGGAAUCUACUUAACAUGUGCAGCGAAAAAUUAAAAUAGAUUUCGAUUCCUACCAGGAAUCUUUUUGUGUUUAGAUAGAAAUUGUGAAAAAAUUGUAUCUUUUCCAAAUCUGCAAAUUUCUUUGUUAUUCUUUUCGUCUCAGCAAUAUUGAUUCGCCACCCACAGCUAUCCAAUUGUCCAGCCUCCAAGAGUGAUCCACACAGAGAACAGAUUGCAACUACUAGGUUUCUCUUCUUGUGUUAGCAAGAAAUUAUGAGAAAACUAUAUCGAUUGAAAACCCUAACCACGUAUUUAUAUAAACCCAAACGGGCCUGGCCUGGCCUGGCCUGGUCUGGUCUAAUAUUUAAUUAAUCCAUUUAAUUAAAUCCGGUUCCUGAAUUAAUUAAUCUAAUUAAUUAAUUCGGACCUAUAAAUAACCAACCCAAUUGAUUAAUUUAUUCGACGAUUGUUAAAUUAAUUAAUUGACAAAUAGCAAUCUUCUAAUUCUCUUUUGUGUGCGACCCAUCAAGUUCCCGAUCACCAUGCCUAACGAUGUGAAAUAUUAUUUUGAUUUAAUCAAAAUUGAUAAAUUAAAAUACUAUUUUAAUUUAUCACCAAUUCACACUCGGCGUUCCAGAUUGAUAUCUAACAAUGUGUCAGGGCAAUACAUGUGACGGGGAAUGUCAUGUGGUAUGACAAAACCAAACUUGAUCAAGGAUUUCGUUAUCGACUUAAUUGAAUGAAACGCAGAUAAUAAUCUCCUACUAUCUAAGAGUUACGAAUCCUCUAUGGGUCAUUCGCAACCUUCAUACGAUUCUUAACAUACUCGAACGAUCCUGUAUUAGCGGCCCUUGGCAAAGCAACAUCCAACACUUUCAAAGUAUGACUGUCCUCAUAUAAAAUACUACGACGACCUCAAGUCAAAGGACCAAUCACAUUACCGAACAUUAGAUAUUAACCAUUGACACUCAAAUAAUUAUCCAUGUGGAAUCUCUCGGUAGCUCUCCAAUGUUUUGUUCUAUAACAAAACAUCCACGUGCUCAUUCAAGUGUCGCCACACUUUAACUUGUGAGAUCAGCUACUUACUUCACAAGUAAGAAAUGUCACACGUGAUGAUCUAUCAUUAAUAGCGAUAUCCGUAUCUCGUUAUUACUUACGACCACGGACGAUUUAAGUUUCAAUCAUAGGUAAUUUGUAUCUCAUAAUCACAACUCCUUGCGAUUAAAAAAUUACAAAGAUUUGAAUCUACGGACUCUAUUAUUUAUUUAAUUGUCUAUUAAUUAAAAAAUAGAUCUGUCAUUAAAUUGCAUUAAUUAUAUAUGAAAAGUAUUUAUGUCCAGGGUUGAUUAGACCUAGGACAUAAUACAUACAAUUGCGACCUCAACAGACUUGGCCUUCAAAUAAUGUUUUUCCUUUUUUAUACCAUGAUUUGACCCCAUCUUUAUGAAAUGUAUGUCCGAACUCCAAAUAAUUUAACUCAUUAAUGAUCAGUGUCCUAAAAAUCACGUUUAGCGCAGACAAAACGUCUAGACGUGCUUUAUUCAUUUUUGUUAGUUUUUCCUUUUUUUUAAAGCCUUUUAUUUGAUAUAGUUUCAAGUUUUUUCUUUGAAAAUUAUAUAAUUGACUAAUUGUAGGAAUUAUUAAUUAAAUAUAAUAUUUUAUAAUUUUAGUUGUUUGGUAUAUAAUAUUUUAAUUAUUAAAUGACUUUUUAGAAUGAUUAAAAAUUUAAAAUAAUAUUAAGAAUAAGAAAAUGUUUUUUUGGCCUAGGUCUCUAGCCUAGACUCGUAAAAUUUAAACCUUGAUCUCCACGUCUAACCAUGAUUUAUGCUUUUUGAAACGGUUCUAAUUAUAAGCACUUAACACUAUGAUGCUUGAGAAAGUUUUGCUAAAGGAUUAAUUGUUGGGAACUUAAUUAACUUGCACAGCGAAAAUUAAACGAAAAUUUUCAAUUCCUACCAUGGAUCUUCUUUGUACUUAGAGAGAAAUUGUGAUAAAGAAUUAUGCCUUUGAUGAAUUCUUUGAAGAACAUUUCUGAUUUGCAAUCUACAACUAUUCAAUCGUCCAACCUCCAAUGAAAACCUACACAGAGAACAAGAUAGAGAGAAUUAGGGUUUUCUUUUCUUUUUUUUUCUUUUUUUGUACUAGCGAGAAUAUGAAUUAUGUAUUCUCUUCUGAUUUUUCAAACCCUGGCAACCUAUUAAAAUAAGUCCAAGUGGAUUUGGCCCGUCUCUUAAAUUUAACUCGAUUCAAUAUUUAAUUAAUCCAAUUAAUUAAUUUGGACAUAUUAAUAAGCAACACAAUUAAUUAAUUUUUCAACACUUGUUAAUUAAUUAAUUGGUCAAUUUCAUUCUUCUAGUUAUCCUUUUGUGUGUGACCCAUUAAGUUUUAGAUCACGAUGCCUAACGACAUGAAUUAUUAUUUUAAUCUAAUCAAAAUCGAAUAAAUUAAAAUAUCCCUUCUUAAUUUACCGAUGAUUCAUAUUUGUCAUCCCAAAUUGACAUUUAGCAAUGUGUUUGGGUAAUACAUGUGACGAAAAAUGUCACAUGGUAUGACAAAAAAAUUCAUUCAUUUACCGUGAAAUUAUAAUCAUUUUGUCAAUAUGAUCUAAUCAAUUACGAGAUAUGAAUAUGUAUUAAUUUCAAUUAUCGAUCGUAUCUUUCAUUCCACUAUUAAGUCAACUUAAUCAAAAACUCUUUUUCGACUUAUAAGUACACCUUAGCCAAAGAUUUCGUUAUCAAUAUAGCCCCCGUUUGGCCUCCAUUUUGUGGUAAUGAAAAUGAGUGGAAUAGUAUUUUAUUUUUUUUAAAUAAGUGGUUGAAAAAGAAAGAAUUUUUUUUAUUUACAUAUAAUAUUAUUUUAUGGAAGAUUGUAUGGUUGAAAAUAGGAGAGAGAAAAAUAGAAUGUAAUUUAAUAGGGGGCCAAACAAGGGCAUAAUUAAAUAAAAUGUAGAUCAUAAUAUUUUAUUAUCUGAGAAUGAUGAAUCCUCUAUUGAUCAUUCACAGCAUUCUAUGAUCUUGACAUACCUAAACGAUGCCAUAAUAGCGACCAUUGACAGAGCAACAUUCAAAAUCAUCAAAGUAUGUAUGUCCUCAUAUAAAGUACUAUGAUGACUUCAAGUCGAAGGACCAGUUCCACUACCAAACGUUAAAGAUUAAACACAAAUACUCAGAUAAUUACAUAUGUAGAAUCUCCCUAGCUGGUCUCCAAUGUUUUGUUCUAUAACAAAAUAUCCACAUGUUUAUUUAAGUGUUAUCUCAAUUAAUUUGUGAGAUUAGCUACUUAUUUCACAAGUAAAAAAUGUCACAAUUGAUCUACUCAUAAUAAUUAUAUCCAUAAUAACUAUAUACAUAUCUCAUUAUUACUUACGACCACAAAUAAUUUAUCAUUCAGUCAUAUUGUAAUUUGUAUUUCAAAUUCACAACUCCUUGUGAAUAACAAAUUACUAUUACUUAAAUCUACGGAUUCUAUUAUUUAAUAAUAGAUCUGCCAUAAAUGAAAUGCAUCAAUUAUAUAUUAAAAAUAUUUAUGUCCAAAGUUGAUUGGACCUAGAGCACAAUACUUACAAACUCUCACUUGUACUAAAUCCAAUCAUUUAUGUAUCUAAAUUCAUAAGAGUCUACAUUACAAUCAGGAACCGUGUGCUGAUUAUCCUCUAAAGGUAAGUUUUCUUCUUCCUUAUGUAAAAAGAGAAUAAAUAAAUCAAUCAAAUUUAGACUUUAUGCUAUUACAACUCUUUGUCUAUGGAUCUGUAAUUUAAUAGCUUGUGGGAUUUCGUUCUUCAUUUACAUUAUUUCUUUGUAUUAUUUCUCUAAUAAGAUGAUAUCGCCUUAACACAUAUUUAGUCAUUAAUGAAACCCUAAUUUCUUUGCUUGCGCAAUGGCUCCAUUGUUAUCACAAUACAAAGGUAUGUGAUCAAUAAUGGUAGGACCUACUCUAAGUUCAUUGUUGAACUUCCUCAUCCAAACCACAACCUUUGUUGCUUCUAAAGCAAUAAUAUAUAAGACUUCUACUAUUGAAUCGACGAUUGUUUCUAUUUGGAACCACACCGCUCAAGAGUAACCCAAUAUCCUAAUUGAGAUUUACGAUCAUUCUAGUCUGACUAGAGGUUAGCUUUACUGUAUCCAUGAACUCUCAGUUCAUUUUCUUUAUGUAAAAUAUUCUCAAGAUCUCAUCUAUGUAGAUUGGGAUGAACUAAACAAUCUUCUAAAUCUAUCUCCACAUAUCAAGUUGUUUUUCCCAGAUCUUUCAUAAGAAAAUCCUUUAACAACCAUAAUUUAACAAUUGAAACGUAGGGAUAUCGUUUCCUAUUAAUAUGUUAUCUACAUAUAAUAUCAAAAAUAUGACAAUGCUACCACUAUCUUCUUAUAAACAUAUGGACCUUCUUCAUUUUUGAUAAAAUUAAACAUCUUAACUUUCUCAUCAAAUUGAAGAUUUUAACUCCAAGGGGCUAGCUUCAAUCCAUCUAUGAAUCGAUCAAGCUUGCAUACCUUGUAAAGUAUAUUUGGAUUCAAAACUUUUUGAGUUGUAUCAUAUACACUUUCUCUUGAUAGUUCCUGUUAAAGAAUACAGUUUUGACAUCAUUUUCCCAUAACUCAUAGUCAUGGUAUGUAGCUAUGUCAUGUAUUAGUUUUUUAAGUCGUAGUUUAUUUCGUUCAGAUUAAAAACUAAUUAAAACUUAAAUUAAAGUCAAUAUUUAAUUUUAAUUAUACAUUGAACUCCUAUUUGAGACCCAUUUUUAUGAAAUAAUAAUUUUUUGGAGAAUGUGCAAUUAAAAAGUAAGAAAAAGUUUUGAAUUUACUCUAAAAUUAUUUUAUGAAAUAAUUUGUUGCUGAAUGAAUUUUUAAAAAUUGAGAUUUUGAAAAAAUUGAGCCCAAACAAAAUUUAAUGUGGUCCACAAAUUUUCAACCAUAUAUUUCAUUAACUUUUAUGAAAUUUAUCUAAACCAGACAGGGACUACAUUUUAAGCAUGUUAUUAUUGGCCAUUUUUGGUAAUUGAUGAAUGAAGGUGAAUUAAGUGAUGAAGAGAAACACGCUAAAAGAAUAUAGGCAAAUGAAUCAAAAAUAAAAUUGUAAUUUCAAAAUUCAUUUUCAUCUUUCUUCUUUCACUAUAUUAUUUUCAAUUGAAGGCACUUUUGAGCUUUGAUUUAAAUGCAAAACAACGAUAGGUUGACAAUGUACUAUAGGAUAUAUUCUCAAUAAUUAAACUUUAAGACUUGGGUAUAUUACUGCAAGGCACUUGCUAUAGUAUAGUUGGCUAGCUGAUAGCAAAAAUAAAAAAUAAUAAUUAUUUGUGUUAAGCAUUAAUUCCAUCAAAUUUAAGCAUAUGUUGCUAAAUGUUUCGAGACGAUAACAUUGCAAAAAUGAUGGACCUCAUUGCCGAGAAAAUUUGUAAAAGAUCAUCAGUUAUUGGAUUAGAAGACGAAUUAAAUAAGAUACACAGUUAGACUACUAACUUGCCCAUAAACAAAUUCUUUGGUUUACCACUACAAGCAAUGCAUUAGGUUUCCAAAUUGAUGGUUGUACAUGCUCUCAUCAUCCUUCUGAUAUCAAAUCUGAAAUAUCUUGAACUUCCAGAAAACAUUUCAUUUGCAUCUAAAUUUGAUCCUCUACGCGUUGAAAUACCAAUGCUUUUGUAUCGAUUCAAGUCCUUAAAUACCAAACCCUAACCCUUCAAUCAAGAACGUUGACUCCCUCCUGCCUCUUCUCCAUCACCUUCGAUCCGUCAAUUCCAUCUCCAUCCCAACUCGAAAUCACCGUCAAAGGUUGAAGAAAAACAAAGGAAUGGGCUGCGUUUUUGAAAUGGCCUCGCCAAACCCUCCAAUCACUUAAGUCUAACUUACUAAUUAUUUGACCUUAUGAUUUCUUCACAAGAUUUGGAUUUUUCAACACUACAAAAAGAAUAUUUUGUUUAAAUCUUUGAAUAUUGCAACAAAAAAACACAUUAUCUAUCAUACUAUAAGCAAAAAAUUUAAAAUUUGACCAAGUAAAAUGAAGAUGGAAAUGGAGAUGGAUGAAGAAAACUUGAAGAAUGGAGAAGGAGAUGGAGAUGAAGAAAUCUUGAAGAAUUGAUUUUUGGUAGAAGAGAAUUUCUUGACUCUUCAAAUUUUUAAGAGUGUGUUUGAUUUCAAGUAUGAAAUUUACAUUAAAAAAAAUAAAUUCUAGACAAUUUACUUAUUUGCAUGAAAAUUGUCAAUUAAAUGUGUUUGAUUAAUUUAAUUUUUUAAUUUGAAAAAUAUUAUACUUAUUUAUUUUUUAUUGGAGGUAGAUGAGAUCAGAAGAGAGAGAAUUACAUCGAAAAUAAAAACAUACUCCUCCUAAAAAUCCUUUUUUUUUGUUUUUAAGGAAAAUAUAGUCAUGUGACCAAAAGUAAAAAAAAAAAUACUUUCUAUGGAAAAAAAUAUCAAUCAAAUAGCUCAAAAAAUAGAAAUUUGAGUAAAAAAUAACAUUUUCUAUGACAAAUAUUAACAAUCAAAUGCACCAUAACAUUCUUCAAAUUCCUAAUGUUCAAAAUGAGGGAAAAAUGUAUAUUAUGAAUUUCUUUAAUUUUUUUUUUUUUUUUUUUUUUUUUUUUUUUUUUUUUACUUAAAUCUGGUCAAAAGCCAUUAUGAAAAAUAGGCGGACGACCAUUAGCCACCAAUUCCUCUCGAUACCGUGGAAAAGUGGAGAAAGACCGAAGAUGAGAGAAAAUGAAUAGGAAUCCAAAGUAAACGAUGUCAUUUUAGCCCUUCCAAUUAAAGAAAAAAUGGAAUUAAUGAGGAAAAAAAGUAAUUUAACAUGCGUCCCUUUCAAUAAACAGGAAUAUUUCUAAGUAAUAUCUAACACCUGUAGAAUAUUUAUUUCAAUUAAUUAUAUUUAAUUCAUCUUCUUUUACAAACCUAAAGAAGAUUUACAUAUACAGUCAAAAUCAAACCUUAAUUUUAAUUAUUCGUUCAUAAUUAUUAUUUAUUAUUAUCUGCCCAUUCUCUGGAAAUUACUAUUUUUCUUCAUAAAUUAUUUAUAAAUUUACCUAACAAAAGUUAAUUUGUCUUACUGACAUGAAAAUCCUGUUGGAUUUUUAUAUCAAUACGUCAAGCCAGUCUUCUGUCCACUUUAAAAGUCUACUCGAGAGUUUUAUUUUCAUCAGUUUUAACUAAUUUUGAUGGCACCAUUUACGAGAAAUUUAAAAAAAAUAAAAUCGUGAUUGUUAGUUUUUUGGGCAUUGUUUUUGGAUGGUUAAAAAGUCAGCCAAAAAUGGUGCAGUGAAAUUUUUAUCGAUUCUCUCAACUUGUAAAAUCGACGAUUUUUUACUGUUUCUUAAAUUUGCUUCUAAUUUUACCCUUUAUAAAAUAAUUAUUUUGAACCAAUACAUUUUGUUUAACACUAACUUAUACAUAAAAUAUACUAACUAAAAAAUUAUUUAUAAGCAAAAAAAUGUACAUUAUAAUUAAAAAAUUACUUAUAAGAUUAAAAAAAUUAUAUUUGUGUAAAAAAAUCACUCAUGAGACAAAAAAUACUUAUAAAAUAUAAAAAGUUACAUAUAAAUAAAAAAUUCACUUAUGUGUAAAAAUUAUUUAAAAGUGCCUUGUUUCAGCCCAUUUUGGAGGGAAAAAAAUGAAUUUUUGAAGGGUCAAAGAAAUUUUUUGAAUUGUGUAUAAUAUUAUUUUAUUGAAAAAUAUGUAGUUGAAAUGAUAUCAAAAUACUGCAGAAGAAUGCAUUUUUUUCUAAAUAAUAGGACUCAAACAAGUUGUAACUUAUAAUUAUAAAGUUUUUUAUAACUAAAAAAUACAAAUAUAAAAUUUUUAAGUAUAUAUUUAACUUAUAAAGUUAAAUAUAUAUAUAUAUAUAUAACCUUACAUAUAAGUAAAAUGUUACUUAUAAGUAAAAAAAAAAAAAAAAUUCAUACAAAAAUCUAAAAUAAAAAUUUUACUAAAGGACAUAUAUAAAAAACCUUACAUAUAAGUAAAAUGUCAUUUUUUAUUUAUUUUUUAAAAACUUUAAGAACCGAUGUAUAAUAAACUCCCAAAUAUGGGUUGGAACAGCUAUUAAAACCACUCAUAAUCCAUUCGUUCAUAUAAGUUUAAAAUCGAUACUUUAAAAAAUGUUCAUAACCGAUACAUCGAAACUCCCAUACAUGCCCUAAAUUACCUUGAUGUUGUGUCAAAAGACAACAUUAUAGUUCGACUAAGAUUUGAGAGUUCUAUCAAGAGAUUAAUUGGAAAUGUAGGAUCAAAUUUAGUUACAUUGAUAAUUGUCCAAAUUAUUUGUAAAAUCCCCCCACCCCGCCCCAAGAAAAAUUCCCAAAUUCCCCAUAACGGCGUGUGGACGAAUUUCUUCAUUAAUACCCUUUCUUGCCCACAAAGCCAAGAUCCGCAUCUCCCUAAUGGCAAUCGAGAUAUUUUCAAACCUGAUUUUUAUAUAUUUAGCCUUUAUUUGAAUCAUAUUAUUUUCAUAAGAAUAUAUUUUUGAAUAGUGUAUUGAUGAAAAAUGUAUGAUUACAAAAUAAGGAAAAGUUUUGAAUUUACGUGUAAUAUUAUUUUAUUGAAAAAUGUGUGGUUGAAAUGAUGUCAAAUCAUCAUUUAUGAAUGUAUUUUUUUGAAAAAAUGUGGCUCAAAUAGGGCUUUAGGAGGGUGUAUUAUAUUGGGACUUUUGAAAACUUUGAUGAACUUUUUUUAACUGAUGAUUUCUAUGAAUUUUGUGGAUCUUUUAUAGAUUUGUAUGAAUUAGUGGAAGUCUUUCAUAGACUUUUAGAGACUUUUAUUUAUAAUUUUUUAUGGACUUUUAUAGAAUUCAAAAGACUUUUGAAAACUUUCAUUUGAGAUAGAAUUUACGUAGAUAUAGUACAACGAUGUGAAAUUCUCACAUACGAGGUGUUAGUUCCCACAAUUUCCUUUUUCCUUCUCCGCAUUCUUCCCAUAUAAUUAAAAAAAAUUAAAGAAUAAAAAUCUAAGAUCUUAAUUAAAGCUUUGUUUGGUACACGUUAAUGUAAAAAUGAAAAUGAAAAAUAUAACCGUUACAGACCUCAUACAAGAAAUAGAAAGUCAAAUAUGAUGGCUUAAUAUGAGGGAUAACAGUCAUAUUUUUCAUUUUAAUGGGCAAAUAAUGGGAAACAAAUGGGGGCUAAAAAAUAAUAAUCAAAAUUAUACAUAUAUAUGAUAAUCAAUAAAUGUAAUAUUCAAUAUUAUUAAUAUAAUAUACUUUUAAAAAUAAAUAAAAAUAAAUAUUUUUAAAUUUAAUUAUAAGUUUUUCAUAUAAAAUUUUAUAAUUUAAUAAAAAAAUAUUUUUCACAAAAAAUAAGUGCAAGAAUAAAAAAUAAACUUACAAGAAUCCAAUUUACUUUUUCAUGAAAAAUAAAGAUAAAAAAUAAGAGAGAAAGAGGAAGAGAGAGAGAGAGAGAUAUAAAGAUAAAUGAAAAUAAAUAUAAUCAAUAGAAAAAAUAAAUUUUAAUCAUACCUGUCCGUGGCAGGAAAAGGGAAGAAAUGUUGGAAAAAAAAAACUUUUCUUUUAAAAAAAGUCUAUCAAAAUUUCGUAAUUAAUGAGCGACAAAAUUUUAAGAUUUUAUGUAAGUACUUUCUGCUUAGAAUUUAGUACUCCAAAGACUUGUAUAAAAGUCGAUACAAGUUAUUAAAAUUUAAAUAUCUCAAAAUUUAUAGAGAUUUCUAAAAAGUUUUAAUUGAAUACACUGUAACUUUUAGAGACUUUUUAAAAGUUUAUAAAAAUCUCAAUUGAAUAUACCAUGACUUUUAGAGAUUUCUUAAAAGUCUCAAUUGAAUAUAUCAAUACUUUUAGAGACUACUAAAAGUCUCAAUUGAAUACCUCUAAACUUUUUAAAUUCCAAAAAGUCAUUUAAAGUCUCAAUUGAAUACACACAUUUAAUGUUUGUCGAUCCCAUUAUUUUUAAAAUUCAUUUUUUAUCUUAUUUCAAUCGCACAUUCUUCAAUAAAAUAAUAUUACACAUAAUUUUAAACUUUUUCUUUCAUUUUAAACCACAUAUUCUUUAAUUCGUCACCUUCAUCGUCUUCCAACAAAAUCAUCUAUAGAACAACCCUAAGAGUAAAGGGCUUUGGGCUAGCCCACUAAUAAUACCAGUCCAACUAGAUAAAAUAGAAGAUAAAUGGUCCACUUGAGUGAAGUUAGCCAUGACAUCCCUCCCACUUAAAUUAACCUUGUUCCUAAGGUUCAAAGUCACGAUGUCUUCUUUGUAUGUUGUUAGCAGUUGCCUCAUUCUCUUCAUCAUCUUUGGAUUAAGCAGGUAGUGCAAAAUGGGCACAUGCCUUAUUAGCAACAAUCUUCUCGAUCAACCCAGGAAUUCCAUACAAUUCCAAUUGUGUACUCCAACCAGAUUGAAUCUAAAGAAAUGGAAAUAGAGAUUGAUGAAGCUACAUUCUUUGCAUCAAAAAACAUAAUGCUAAAGUUUUCAUCAUAAGGGUUGUUAUCCUCUACAAAAGUCUUGGUAGUCUAAUCAUCAUCAGUAGCUACUAACAUAUUGAAUGGUCCAUCUCGAACCCCAGAGAGAGUUCUUUUCAUUUCUUUUUGAGAGAUAUCACCAUGUAAGGCUUCAGAACUAAAGUGUCUUUGCCUAGCAGAUGCCAACUGAUCAGCAUUACACUUUGUUUUGGUAAAAACAAUACAUUUACCUACUUUUGCAUGCUCAGUUAUAAGAGUUCCAAUUAUAGCUGGUUUCUCUCGCAUUUCUGAUGAAAUUGCAAAUAGUGAAAUUUGAAUAAAAUCUCCCGCAAGGUCAACAUUAACUGGAUUUUUGAAGAACUUUUGUGUAAGUUUUAUUAUCGAAUUCAACAUUGUAGCUAAAAUCAUGAUGGUCUUAUGCUUUUGCGACAUAUAUCCCUGGAUUGUCUCAACAUCAUCCAUGAAUCCCACGUUAAACAUCUGAUCAGCUUCAUCUAGAACCACAAACUGAACCUCUAAUAAACUCAAAGAACCCCUCUUAAUCAAAUCUAUAACCCGACCAGGAGUACCAGCAACUACAUCAACACCUUGCUUAAGGGGAUCCAUUUGACAUGAAUUUGGCAUGCCCCCAUAAAUGCAUAGAGUGUUUAAAUUUAGAGUAGACUGAUAGAAUUCUUUUUCCACUUGGCAAGCAAGUUCUCUGGUUGGAGUCAAGAUUUAUCAGUUACAAUUUUUGUCAUUAUGGACCUCCCAACAUCUCUUGAAUCGGGUGAAAUUCCACUUAUUUCAACCACUAAAUUACCAUAUACUACCAUGGGACUAAUUUACUCUCUUCUGAAAGCUCCACUGAGCUCAUUCUAAACAUAGGUUCCACAACUCUAGACUUGGUUUUACCAAAAUCAUCAAAAUCAAUAUCAAACGAAGAUAAUUUCUUGAUAAUUUAUCAUCACUAACCUCGAAUUCCUUGGAAUCAGACUUCGAAUCUAUACCAACAAAUCCAAGCCCAAUUGGCGAGGAACCUCCACCUCAGACCCUAAAACUGGUCCAAACCUGAAUUCCAUGCCCAAAUCCUCUGGGAGAACCGAAUUGAACUCCCAAGUUGGGUGGUCUAGAAAAUAGGCUUCACGAGACUCGAAUAUAUCGGUGACAAAAUUCAUUUGUUCCUCUUUGGAGGUUGAUUGAUCCUCAAUCAUUUUAGUCAUCAUUGAGAUCAUCAACUCCUGCUUUCUAUUAAAUUCUUCCAUUGCUUGUUCUAUCAUGUCCUGCUUAGUACAUACCACUUUCAACUGUUCCUCCCAUGAUUUUGCAACUACAACCAAAUCUGAUACUUUUCUGCCUAACAUUUUCAGAUGUUCUUCAAUUGAAUUGCAUCUAGUUUCAGCCAUACCCAGAUUGAUUGAGUCAUCAUUGAGAUCAUCAACUCCUGCUUUCUAUUAAAUUCUUCCAUUGCUUGUUCUAUCAUGUCUUGCUUAGUACAUACCACUUUCAACUGUUCCUCCCAUGAUUUUGCAACUACAACCAAAUCUGAUACUUUUGUGCCUAACAUUUUCAGAUGUUCUUCAAUUGAAUUGCAUCUAGUUUCAGCCAUACCCAGAUCACGUUGCUGCUCUGAUACCAUUUGUUAUUGUUAAAGCUCAAUUUCUAUAGAAUUCAACCAAAAUCAACAAACAAUUGGAUAUAAUCAGCUGGGAAUCAAUAACCCAAGCUGUAAUUCUAUUAAUUAAGUUGAAGCUUACACGAAAAUAACAAAAUGGUUGCAGCAGAAGACAGGAAGAAGAGUGGAAGAAGGAGAAAGAAGAGGAAGAAAACAACAGAGAAGAAGAAGAUACCACAGAAGAAGAAGAAAAAGAAAGAGAAACAGUGAAAAGGAGGAGGAACCCAGAGGAAGAGAAGAAGAACAGGUAAGAGUUAGCAGCAGCAAGACUCGAUUCAAUUCAAUUCGUCCCCUUCAUCGUCUUCCAACAAAAUCAUAUAUAGAACAACCCUAAGAGUAAAGGGCUUUGGGCUAGCCAACUAAUAAUACCAGCCCAAUUAGAUAAAAUAUAAGAUAAAUGGUCCACUAGAGUUGGCUAGCCCAAAGCCCUUUACUCUUAGAGUUGUUAUAUAUAUGAUUUUGUUGGAAGACAAAGGACGAAUUGAAUUGAAUCGAAUCGUGGCUUGUUGUGUCUUGUCCCUAUUCUCUCCUCUUCCCCGGUUUCUUCCUCUUCUUUUUCUCUCUACUGGUCUAUCUCUUCACUCUACUCUGGAUCUAUUUUGAAUCUGAACCGCUUCUUACUUUUCUAAUUUUGCCCCUUCUUUUUUUGUUUUCUGUUAGCUUUGUAAUUUCUAUGUAAGUUUCAGUUCAAUUAAUAUAAUUACAGCUUGAGUUAUUGAAUCUUGAGUAAUUACAAUUUAUAUUCCGCAGCUUGAGUUUAUGGCUUCUUGUUAUUGGUUGAGCUCCACCCAUAACAAUUAUGUUUACGUUUAUUCCAGCUUUAGGUCUGUUCUUACAGAUUACGUUUACGUCUCACAUUUUUUGCAUAAUAUUUUCUUGAAAUAUUGAGUAGAAUAUUUAUCAAAUUUAGGGGUCAAUAGGAUGGUUAAGGGUUGGGGAAUCGUUGAUUUCUUGUUAGGCAAAUAUUUUUAGUAGUUAGGAUUCACUAUUCUGGAUUCAUAUUGUUUUGUACGUAGAUUUUGGCAUUAUAAUGGAUCGGAUCUUAAAGGCUGUUUGCAUCUAUGAAAUUUACAGUAUAUUUUGUUAGUCAUAUAGAUUUAGGUUGCUAUCAAAUUCUCAGUUUUGUGCAGUCAAGUUUUUAUGACAUGAACAUGUGUGUAAAUAAUGGAGGACUGGAGUUUGGAGAUCUUAAUCAUAUAUAAAAAAGGUAAAUAAUUUUCUUAUUUACCUUUUUUAGAAUUCUCAAUAAUCACAUUUAUUUAUUUUAUUUUGAAUUAUAGGUUUCUUGCACAUGCAACUAUUAGAAAAUUUUAAUUACUCAUCUUUCAUGAUUAGCAGCAGUGAUUCUUCAAAGUUUGAUGGAUUGUGCUGGGCUAGGAGAAUGGGGGCGCAUUUUCAUGAGCCUUUUUGAUCUAUGUAUAUGUAUAUUUCAAUGAUAUAAUUGUUCGGCCCCAGUUAUUGAUUUCUUAAAGAAUAAAGUAAAAUUGUUGUCUACAACUGACCACUCUUGAAAAAAUGAAAUUUCUAGCACAGUUAAGAGUGUUUGAUGCAUUGGUUAACCUAACUGCCUUCUUUGUCUGAUAUGUGACAUUCUUAUUGCUUUGCAGAGGGUUAUAUAAUUUGGUUACUUGUGUUUCUUCUCUUUCACAUUUUUCAGUUUAGGAAGUGCCUAACAGUUGAAAUUGUUUCUCUAUACUGUCAGGCUUGUUAGAUUUUGAUUUGAAGAGAUCAAUAGUAUUUUGGACAUGGAACAAGUACGCCUUUGGUCUGAUUGCUACCAGCAUCAAGUUUUUUCAUUCCGGGAAGUUCUCGAUUGGCGGUUUCUCACCCUUGGAGAUUUCCUUCUUGUUUCCUACGUGAAUUGCACUUAGUGAACAACUUCUAAAUGUUCAGUGUAAAAGGCCACAUGCGCAUUUCUUUUAAAAUAGACGUUGAAUCUUUAGGGAGCUUCUUCACGUGAGUUGCAUAUUAAAAUUUAUUCUGAAAGCUUGUUAUGAUUUUGAUUAAGACCACACUCUUAAUCUUCUUAAGAAAGCUAUUUUGUUUUUAGUUCAUUGGUGAUACAUGUCACAAUUUCAAUUUACUCAUUUAAUUCUACGUAAAAAGAUUUCAAAAUUUUGUAUACUUCGUGAAGAGAGAAGACUUUUGGUAAUUUAUAGAGUAUGGCGUAGGCAAGCAUCAAUUGAUAAUUAAAAAUUUUCUUAUAUACUUGGUUACAUUACAAAAAGUAUAUUAGAGACUAGUAAAUAUACAAAAGUUGCAUUACAAAAGUUCUCCUACCAAAAGUGGCACUAUGCAAAAGUCGCCUUAAGCACCAUAUCGUACUACGAUAACUAACCAAUUUGUAUCAAAAUUUAUACAUCAAAGGCCACCGGACACAUUAUUUUUCCAGGAAAACUAUCCAAAAAUAAGUAUAUCAUAGUGGUGGCUUCAAAAUAGUCGAUGUAGUAGCGGAUUCCUACAAAGUGGUUAAAGCCCAAAAAAUCUGGAUAUGUCAUCCACGUGUGGAUUUCUUUGACAAACAUGCAAUAUUUGCCACCUUCUGAAAACGUCCAUUCUCCAGAAGUAAAAUCAAUGUAUUCGACCGUGAUCAUCUACAAGAAAAAUAAAAAAAUAACGUGAAUAUAUUUAUUCAACGAGUAGUCUAUACCAUAAUCUUUCUUUAAUUUGAAUAAGAAAGGAAAACAAUGGGCCCCAAUUAUAGAUGUUGAUUCUUACCUGUGCACGCAAUAUGAAAAUAACAAUACAUGAGCUCAAUAGUCAAUUACACCAAUUUGGUGUAAAAAUAAUAAUAUCAAUCACUAUCCAAUGCAAUGCGAAUAUCCAAUGUCAAUAUCAAUGGGUAGAAUCUUGGAUCUAUAACUGAUUUGAAAAGCAAGAAGUAAUCCAAUAAACAUAAUUGAAAUAAAUAUGUUUGGAAUAAAAGUAGGUAUAGACUACUCACCUUCAAUGUUGCAAGACAAUUAAAGUGCUACCUUUGUAAAGUUACUUGACUUUUGUUUUGUUGUAUGCAUUUCCCUUUCUCACCCUAUCCCCUAUUUAUAGUAGUAAUUUAGAAUUAAAUUAACAAUUAAGUUAUUUUUCCAUAAUCAUUAUUUUGCCACACUUUACCUUAUCAUGUCAUUUGGCUUUGUAGUAUUUAAGGUGGCAAAAUGAUAAGUGUAGAGUUAAUGAAAGGUAGUCACUUUAUUUCCUCAAUUUUACUACAUGGUUUUUAAACCAAAAUUUUAAUUCAAUUCUUUUCAUAAGAUUAUAAUAUAAUUAACAAACUUUUUAUUAUGUUACAUAAAAUGUACAACGCAUUAUAAACUUACUAAAAAAAAUGUACAUCACAACACAAAACUUACUAAAGUCUUCGGAUGUCACAAUACAACAUCCAUUUCAAACCCUCUGAAAACCAAUUUGCCAGUUAACUUUUAGACACUAUAAUUAAUUUUAGCUUUGGAGACUAUGCUCAGUUUUUUAAGCUGGUGUUCUUUUUCUUUCUACUUUUUACCACAGAGCUGAAGUCCGCAAGUAAACAAAGAAUGCUUGUUACGUGGUUUAAUAUGUAGCACACUUGCUUGUGCAGAGUUUUUAAGUAUUAGAUAAUGUCAUUUUCUUUCCACUCUCUCCCUGGUGGCUCAUUAAGAUUGACAAGGUUCUAUUGACUCGAGAUUUAAAUUGGAUUCUGUUUCAGUGUAGUUUUUUGUGUGGAAGCUUUCAUUGAUCAUGUAAUGCGCUAGGCAUUCCAUCUGUUGGGUUGAACUUCGGCAUGUUCUCAAUUUUUAUUCUGUAUCAAGAUGCUCCAUAGUUCUUCCUUGCCUUGCUGUCAUCUGGGGAUAUAUGAUAUGGUAUAUCUUAUGAAUAAGGUUGUGAAGCCCGUCCAUCAUAAAGUCGUCGGUAUUUAUCGUGUGCAGAGUAUAACAGAAAAUUAGUGGUGGAUUUUUUAUGAAUCGGACCGAAAUUUGCAAGAUUUGAUAUACAGUCAUCUGUUGGAUAUACGAGCACUGCUUUUCUUUUAUGUCUUUACUCAUUUUUCAAUUAAGUUUCGCGGGUAGUUGAAGUCGUGAGAAUGGAAAGGUAUGUUGUUUUAUGACUCCUGAGUUUGGUAAUUUGUUAGUGUCUUUUUUCUAUUGGAGUUAUCAUAGUAGUAAAUGCAGGUACAAGAUUAUUAGGGAGGUUGGUAAUGGUACAUUUGGAAGUGUCUGGCGUGCUCUGAAUAAGCAGUCUGUUGAAGUGGUAGGUAUAUUUUUCAUUUAGAUUCUUCUAAAGUUUAAAUCGAUUAAGUUGGUUUUAUUUCAAAUUAAUAUUUACUUCAUCAGGUUGCAAUAAAAAAGAUGAAGAAGAAAUAUUAUUCAUGGGAAGAAUGCAUAAAUUUAAGAGAAGUCAAGGUAACAUAAUUUACAUUUUUAUUGAUUUUUUGAUUUCUAUUUGUGGAAGAUAAACGAUUGUUUUUCUUCUUGACAGUCACUGUGGAAUGAACCAUCCAAAUAUAGUUAAGCUCUAGGAGGUUAUUAGAGAAAAUUAUGUCUUGUACUUUGUCUUCGAGUACAUGGUAUGUGUUGCUUAUGUCAUCUGUAGAUGUCUUUAGCUUUUCUGAUAGCUUCUCACUCUGUAUAUUAGCUUGUAAUAUCUGCUAUUUUUUUAGGAAUUCAAUCUGUACCAGCUUAUGAAGGAUAGGAGAAAACUUUUUUCGUAAGCAAAAUUAAGAUCUUGGUGCUUCCAAGUUUUUCAAGGUCUAGUGUACAUACAUCAAUGUGGAUACUUCCAUCGUGACCUCAAGCCAGGUGAUUACACAAAAAAAAUUAAAUAAAUUAAAUAAUUGCAAUGUCAUUCUUUGUGUUAGGAGUAUGAUUCAAAUAUGAGUCUUUUGAAGAGGCGUAUUCGACUUGGUCUAGGAGAAUAUUAACCACGGGUUUAAGGAAACUAAGUUGAAUAAGAAAACAAAAUCCUAUUGAAAUUGGGUCUCCUAAUUGUAAUAUAUUUUCUUGCCUCUUAGGACUCUUCUAGGGUUGGCCUAUAAUACGAGGCUCCUCGGUCAGUUUGUAGAGAGUAACAUAGAAGCAGUAUUGCUAGUCUAUAUUGUAUUCUCCAUAUUGUUCAGUUUAAUAAACAUCGUUCUCUACCUUAAUCUCUUUGUUCUUUCUUUACAAAUUUAAUCUUGUGUUUUCCUGUGUGUGAUCUAGUAUACUUCAAUAUUGUCAUUAAAUCUCGUUCUUUAGAAUCCAAUUUGGAGUAAAGUGUGUUAUUGGAACUUCCGCCCCCAACAAGUGGUAUCAGAGCUUAGGUCCUUUCGUAGAUUGGUUGAAAUUUUUUCAGGAUGGCUGGGUUGAAGUAUGAUAUCCCGCAACUAGAACGCAAUACAAGAUUUUCUUUAUGGCAAGUAAAGGUGAGGACUGUUCUGGCGCAAUUGGAUUUGGGCGAUGCGUUGCUAGAUUUUGAGAAGAUGCCAGCUGAUUGGACAACGGAGGAGAAAUAACGGAAGGAUCGGAAGGCUGUGUCGUUAAUUCAUCUUCAUUUAUCUAACAAUAUUCUGAGGAUGUUUUGAAGGAGAAGACGACUGCUGCUUUGUGAUUGAGACUAGAACAGUUAUGUAUGACUAAAAAUCUUACUAGUAAACUGGCUCUUAAGUAGAAGAUGUAUUCCCAUAGCAUGACGGAAGGAGGAUUGUUGGAAGAUCAUAUUGUCGUGUUCGAGGAAAUAGUUGCAGAUCUGGAGACGUUGGAGGUUAAGUACGAUGAAGAGGAUCUUAUCUUGAUCCUGUUGUGUUCUCUGCCUAAUUCUUAUGCAUCGUUUCAAAAUACUAUCUUGUAUAGUCGAGAUACUCUGACUGUAGAAGAUGUCUAUGAUACUUUGCAUUCAAAUGAGAAAAUGAAGCAUUCGGUUGGAGCUACAUCAAGGGAUGGAAAAGCUCUUGUAUCUCAAGGUGGUCGAAGAAGAGGCAGAUCGAGAGUUAGAUUUAGCAAUGUGACCUGUUACUACUGCAAAAGGAAUGGACAUAUUCGAAAGGAUUACGAUAUGUUGCAGGCUAAAGGUGAUUUAACUGCAAAUCAUGGGGUGCAACCUUUGAAUUCAGACGAAACCAAUGUAGUUGAGAAUUGUUUAGAUAGCAAAAAUGUGAUGUUGACCGUGGUAUCUGAUGUGGAGUCUAGGCCUGACGAGGAGUGAAUUCUUAAUUUAGCAUGUUCGCACCAUAUGCGUUUCGAUAGAAAUUUAUUUCAGACGUAUGAGGCUGUUCAGCAAGGUGGAGUUCUAAUGGGAAAUAACUAGUCUUGUAGUAUUACUAGGAUUGGUCCAGUCAGAUUGAAGCUGCGGGAUGGAACAUUUAGAACAAUUGAUCAGGUUCAACAUGUUCCUGACCUAAAAAGAAAUCUCAUUUCUCUGAGUACCCUAGAUACAAAAGAGUAUAAAUUCUCUGGAGGAUGUGAAGUCUUAAAGGUCCGAAAGGGAGUUCGAGUUGUACUGGAGGGACGGAAAGAUCCCAGUUGUACAUUUUGCAGGGAAGUGCAGAACCAGUUAAGAAGAGACAUUUGGACAAGUUUAGUACCGUGAUGGAAGUUCGGUUUGGUAUAGUAUCUCUUGGGUUGGGCUCUAAGUCGAUUCACAACACUACUAGGGAGAGCGUUGGUGAUUCCGCUUUGCCACCAAUUUCAAUGAGUACACUAUGUUCGAUUGCUGGGGUAGGACUCAUCGAGCGUAGGUACCGUGAUGUCAGCAAUGUCUGGGAUGCUUCUAGGGACGUUAAAGGCGAUAGUUCUAGCAAGGGGCCUUCUGAUCAAGCAUCUGGUUUGGUUUUUGCUACACGACGUGCUUCGGCCCUGUGUCAUCAAUAUUAAUUUUUUGGUGGAAUUGGGAACCCUGGGGAUUGGGUUCCGGUGUCGGUUGUGGACGCCGAGCAGAGGACGGGUGUUUUGGUUUAUAUGAAGUGGUUAUUGUGUUGAGGAAAUUCGUCCAGUUCAUUUUGUUGCAAACGUAUUUGAAAUCUAGGAAUUUCGUUUGUAGCACCGAAAUUUGAAUCAAUGUGGAGAUUGUUAGGAGUAUAACUCAGAUAGGAGUCUUUUGAAGAGGCGUAUUCAACUUGUACUAGAAUAAUAUUAACCUAGGGUUUAAGGAAACUAAGUUGAAUAAGGAAACAAAAUCCUUGUUGAAAUUGGUUCUCCUAAUUGUAAUGUAUUUUCUUGCCUUUUAGGACUCUUCUAGGGUUGGCCUAUAAAUAGAGGCUCCUCUGGUCAAUUUGUAGAGAGUAACAUAGAAGUAGUAUUGCUAGUCUGUCUUGUAUUUUCCAUAUUGUUCAGUUUAAUAAACAUUGUUCUCUGCGUUAAUCCCUUUGUUCUUUCUUUACAAAUUCAAUCUUCUGUUUUCAUGUGUGUGAUCUAAUAUGCUUCUAUAUUGUUAUUAAAUCUCGUUAUUUAUAAUCCGGUCUGUAGUCAACGUGUGUUAUUGGAGCUUCCGUCCCCAACGCUUUGUUCUCACUGUGACAUAUUGUUGAAUAUUUUGCCAAUAACCUCCAUCUUCUAGGUUUGAAAUGCCCUUCCCGUUUUCUGGCUUGAGUUUUUCUUAUGAAAUUCAAAGUAACUUAUUGAAAAAGUAAUUAAAAGAUGUGUUGCUUUAUUCUACGUGCUUGUGAACUUUUAGUUGCAUAUCUUAUUCAAAUUAGGUAAAUGUAUCCUUACUCUUUAGAAUAUAGGGAUGGCAAUUUGAAUCGUCAAAAUCGAAAACUGCGGUUAACUGAAUCGAAUAGAGCGAAAAAAACCAAACCAAUAGUUCAAUGGGGCGGAUAUGAUAUUUGAUUUUAAUGAAAUGAUUCGAAGUGGUGCAGAUAUGGUAUUUACGCUGUCGUCCUAAACUGAACUGAUUACCCGUUAAAUUUAUUUUUUUCGAUCUAAAUAAUAAUCCAAUGCAAAAUGUGUAUUAAAAAAAUCUAAUUUUGCAAACUCCACAGGGGCCUUUUUUAUUCAUUUUUGCAACACACAUGAUGGUUAUCAACUCACUCGUUUUGAAGCGCACUCAACCAACAAUUUUAGUUUCAAAAAACUUAUUCUCUUACAGUAAAUUUGAUCAUUUGAUUAGUUUUAGGUAUUUGGUUUGGCUUGAAUUUAGUAUACAUAGUCUUUGCCUUUCUUGAUUUUGUUAACAGUAACCUAGAUAUCACCCUUGGUACCAUAAAUCGUCGCCUUUUUACAGAUGUACCCUCUAUCGGUCCUUUGUACAAUUUUAAUAUGGUAAGAGAUCAACAACACAAAUUGUUUGAAGUGCUCCAAUAUAAUUCACUCGACUAUCAGUUGAUAACCAUCAUGUGUGGCUUUUUUUGUAGAUUGCUUUUUUCAAUUUGACAACUAGACCUAUGAAAAAUAAUUUAUUUUCAUGGUUAUUAAUUGCCCCGAACCGAGCCGAACCAAAACCAACUUACGUGGUUAUGGUGCGGUUAUGAUAUAGCAAAAAAAUUGAUGGUUCGAUGAUAAUUUUGGCCAAACCGACCCGAACCGAACCGUUACCAACCCUAUUAGAAUUUGAAUAUGUUUCAAUUUGGAUAAGUAGACUUCAUGAUUGAUUGCAUAUUUGCUUAUUAUUAUUAUUAUUAUUAUUAUUAUUAUUAUUAUUAUUAUUAUUAUUAUUAUUAUUAUUAUUAUUAUUAUUUUACUUGCUGUUUUUUAAAUCAAGUGUGGUUAUCUUGUGCCAACUAAUAUCCUCAAAAUUGUGGCUGUCUAUUUUUUUGCAUUUAUACGUUCAUUAUUCUCUUUCAAAGAACUUCUAGUCUCAAAGGAUAUCAUAAAAGUUGCUGAUUUUGGUCUUGUACGGGAGAUAAACUCUCAACCUCCAUUCACGGAGUAUGUCUCAACACGCUAGUGGGUGGUUAUCUCUAUCUUUUCUAUUUACUUUUGACACGUACAUAUUUUUUUAUACUAAAAUGUACACAUUGUAGGUACCGGGCCCCUGAAGUUCUACUCCAGUCACCAACAUAUGGUCCUGCAGUUGGUGAGUAGAUGAUGAAAAAGGAGAUUUUGUUUUUGGGAAGUUUUUCAUGUUCUAAUCUAUUUGUUUUUUAACUUUCAGACAUGUUGGCUAUGGGCGCAAUAAUGGCUGAAUUCUUCACCCUUUUUCCUCUACUUCCGGGCUCAAGGUAGAAUAACUCUCUUUAAGAGGCAGGGCUGUUCUGGGAUGAGUUGUUUACCAUUCAUCUUAUCUGCUUGAUAUUUUAUGCCCAAUGUAAAAUAGAUAGUCACUCUGAAUAUCGUGUAUCUUGGACCUGGGCGUUAAACUAUUACCAUUCAAAUCUCAAAUAAAUAAGUGCAAUUCUAAAUAGUUCAUUCCCAUCAUGUGAUUUCUAGUUUUGAUUCCUCGUACUGAGCAUUAACUUAAACAAUUCUUUGUUUUUUGGGUGCUGCGAAGCCGAUGAAAUUUAUAAGAUAUGCUGCGUAAUAGGCAGCCCAACUAAAAAUAAAUGGCCCGAGGGGCUUGAACUUGCUAGUGGCAUCAAUUACCAGUUCCCAAAAGUAAGUUUUGUUAAAGGAAUAAAUCUCACAUCGGUUAAAUACUCAAAUAUUGACCAACUUAAAUAGAUCUUGGUCACUCCUCUUAAUAAGGUUGACUUUAUUAAGAUGGACCCCAAGUCUUAACAUGGUCUCAGAACCCAGUAAGCUCCAACGAGCUAUUCGAUCCGAUUAAAUCUAAAAAAUGAGCACACGAAUUUCAAGAUUGGUCUGCUCAAAAAGAGCCACAAUCUUGCGAGGGCAUAUUAAGGGAAUAAAUCUCACAUCGAUUAAAUACCGAAAUAUUGACCAACUUAAAUAGAUCUUGGAUCAACCUUAUUAAGAUGAACCACAAAUCUUAACAUGGUAUCAGAGCUCAGUAAACUCCAACGAUUUAUUCAAUCCGAUUAAGUCUCAAAAAUGAGCAUACGAAUUUCAAGAUUGGUCUGCUGAAAAAAUAGCCACCAUCUUGCAAGUGCAUGUUAAAUGAAUAAAUCUCACAUCGGUUAAAUACUGAAUUAUUGACCAACUUAAAUAAAUCUUAGGUCACUCCUCUUAAUAAGGUUGACUUUAUUAGGAUGGACCCCAAGUCUUAACAUGGUAAUGUUAAGGGAAUAAAUCUCACAUAGAUUAAAUACCAAAAUAUUGACCAACUUAAAUAGAUCUUGGGUCACUCAUCUUAAUAAGGUUGACCUUAUUAAGAUGGACCCCAAAUCUUAACAUGGUAUCAGAGCUCAGUAAACUCCAACGAGCUAUUUGAUCCAAUUAAGCCUCAAAAAUGAGCAUACGGAUUUCAAGAUUGGUCUGCUCAAAAAAGAGCCACCAUUUUGCAGGGGCAUGUUAAAGGAAUAAAUCUCACAUCGGUUAAAUACUGAAAUAUUGACCAAUUUAAAUAGAUCUUGGGUCACUCCUCUUAAUAAGGUUGACUUUAUUAAGAUGGACCCCAGAUCUUAACAUGUCGUGCAAAAAUUUUCCAUUGUUAAGAGAAGUGUUUCUUGAGUUCCAGGUUAUACGCAUGUUUUGGUAGCGUUUAUAAACACUUCAAAUUAUUAAUAGAUAGAAAUGAGUGGUGGAUAAGUGACAAUUCUUGUGGGUGACAGUGGGUCUCUGGAUAAUUUAUGUUUUCUCUACAUAUUAAAAUAUUUGGAGAAAAUGGAAAAGUAUAUCUAUUACCCACUUUUGUAAUGUUACUUAUCACUUUCUGACCUCCUUGCCAUUAUAACGGGAAACGAGAUGGUGAAGAGAUGGUCACUUUUAAGUUUAAAUAUAUGGACUGCAAGGAUUGUUAUAUUGGGGUGUCUUUUUUUCAAGCAUGAUUUCUUUACGUAUGAGAUCCGGAAUCUAUCUUUUGGUGAUCAUAUGUUCUUCGGAUAAAUAAAGUUGAUUAACUAUCUUGAACCUGUCUGCAUGUUUUGUUGUUGAGGUUGCUGGUGUCAAUCUCUCUUGUUAAUACCGGGUGUUAGUGAGGAUGCAAUUAACCUUAUUACAGUAAGUGAUGCUAAAAGCCUGAUGCCAUUCUCUCUCUCGUCUUUCGCGACUCCCUAAUUUGUCUAAAAUUUUUGCAUGCCUUAGUUUUCUCAAAAUGGAAGCUUAUUUUAUAAUAUGUUCUGAAUUUUUGUUUAAGGAUUUCCUUUUCCUGUUAAAUGUAGUCACUUUGUUCAUGGGAUCCAUGCAAGAGGCCAACAGCCUUGGAAGUCCUUCAACACCCUUUUUUCCAAGUUGUUGCAUUACCAAUAUUCUAGAUUUCCAUUAUUUAACAAAUUUUGUGGUAAUAAUUUUGUCAUUAUGGCAGAGAAGUUCAGAGAUUUAACUGUUUCUUUAAUGUUGGAGAGUUGCUAUUAUGUUCCACCAUCACUUCACUCUAAAGCUGCUGUUGCAAGCACACCUCCUGGUAAGUCCUUCAAAGUCUGAUAUUACUUCCCUUCAAUCUUAUGUGAACCUUUAUGAUAUCUAUUUAUUACAGCUAAUACUAGGGUAUCUUCGGAACAUAAAUAUGGUAGGAGAUAUCCUGGGGGUUCAUUGAACCCGAAGCCCGUGAACAAUUUUUCUUCUGCCAAGCCGCUUCCAACUUUGAAAUGCAGGUGUUGUGUUUACCAUAUGAUCUUUGUAGUUUUUGGUGGUUAGUAGUUGUCGAGUUGUGUAAUUGUUUAUAAAAGGUAUUUUUGUUAUCUAUUUUAUGGAGAGCUAAGACUCUGUAGCUCUUAUAUAAAAAUACGGGCGUGUUGUGUUUGUGAGAGAGCAGUAAUGGGGUGAGGAUGGAUUAAUUACCUAUUUCUUAUGUUCCCUAACGUGUAUUCAAAUUAUGAGGGUGUUUUACACCCAUUUUUUAUGGAAGAUCACAAGAAAUUCUUCCCGGAAGAAUAUAUACCAGGAAAGUAGCAGGAUAAGAAGCAGCGUGUCAAGAGGUUAAUUGUUUUGAGCAAGUAAAAGUUAGUCAUGUUUAUGUUCCAAGAGCAUGAGUUUCUCAUCAAUAAUCCUUCGUUGGAGCUUGUUUAAGUACGCGUUGUUAUCAGAUUUCUAUGCCUAUAGCUUGUGUUUAUAAAUCACUUGUAAACAUUCAAGUCACCUGUUUAAUAAAGCA